RNAcentral lists this ribosomal RNA (1499 nucleotides) under uncultured Lysobacter sp. RNAcentral describes it as "bacterial SSU rRNA". It matches the Rfam family "Bacterial small subunit ribosomal RNA". The record is from RNAcentral. Lineage: Bacteria; Pseudomonadati; Pseudomonadota; Gammaproteobacteria; Lysobacterales; Lysobacteraceae.
GCCUAACACAUGCAAGUCGAACGGCAGCACAGCAGUAGCAAUACUGUGGGUGGCGAGUGGCGGACGGGUGAGGAAUGCAUCGGAAUCUGCCUAUUUGUGGGGGAUAACGUAGGGAAACUUACGCUAAUACCGCAUACGUCCUACGGGAGAAAGUGGGGGACCUUCGGGCCUCACGCAGAUAGAUGAGCCGAUGCCGGAUUAGCUAGUUGGCGGGGUAAAGGCCCACCAAGGCGACGAUCCGUAGCUGGUCUGAGAGGAUGAUCAGCCACACUGGUACUGAGACACGGUCCAGACUCCUACGGGAGGCAGCAGUGGGGAAUAUUGGACAAUGGGCGCAAGCCUGAUCCAGCCAUGCCGCGUGAGUGAAGAAGGCCUUCGGGUUGUAAAGCUCUUUUGUCCGGGAAAGAAAAGCAUUCGGUUAAUAACCGGGUGUCAUGACGGUACCGGAAGAAUAAGCACCGGCUAACUUCGUGCCAGCAGCCGCGGUAAUACGAAGGGUGCAAGCGUUACUCGGAAUUACUGGGCGUAAAGCGUGCGUAGGUGGUUUUGUUAAGUCUGAUGUGAAAGCCCUGGGGCUCAACCUGGGGAACUGCAUUGGAAACUGGCUUACUAGAGUGCGGGUAGAGGGGUGUGGAAAUUUCCCGGUGUAGCAGUGAAAUGCGUAGAUAUCGGGAGGAACAUCUGUGGCGAAGCGACACCUGACCAGCACUGACACUGAGCACGAAAGCGUGGGAGCAAACAGGAUUAGAUACCUGGUAGUCCCGCCCUAAACGAUGCGAACUGGAUGUUGGGGGCAACUUGGCCCUCAGUAUCGAAGCUAACGCGUUAAGUUCGCCGCCUGGGAAGUACGGUCGCAAGACUGAAACUCAAAGGAAUUGACGGGGGCCCGCACAAGCGGUGGAGUAUGUGGUUUAAUUCGAUGCAACGCGAAGAACCUUACCUGGCCUUGACAUGCACGGAACUUUCCAGAGAUGGAUUGGUGCCUUCGGGAACCGUGACACAGGUGCUGCAUGGCUGUCGUCAGCUCGUGUCGUGAGAUGUUGGGUUAAGUCCCGCAACGAGCGCAACCCUUGUCCUUAGUUGCCAGCACGUAAUGGUGGGAACUCUAAGGAGACCGCCGGUGACAAACCGGAGGAAGGUGGGGAUGACGUCAAGUCAUCAUGGCCCUUACGGCCAGGGCUACACACGUACUACAAUGGUAGGGACAGAGGGCUGCAAACCCGCGAGGGCAAGCCAAUCCCAGAAACCCUAUCUCAGUCCGGAUUGGAGUCUGCAACUCGACUCCAUGAAGUCGGAAUCGCUAGUAAUCGCAGAUCAGCAUUGCUGCGGUGAAUACGUUCCCGGGCCUUGUACACACCGCCCGUCACACCAUGGGAGUUUGUUGCACCAGAAGCAGGUAGCUUAACCUUCGGGAGGGCGCUUGCCACGGUGUGGCCGAUGACUGGGGUGAAGUCGUAACAAGGUAGCCGUAUCGGAAGGUGCGGCUGGAUCACCUCCUU